RNAcentral lists this small RNA (28 nucleotides) under Bombyx mori (domestic silkworm). Its description in RNAcentral is "piRNA piR-bmo-1853182". The record is from RNAcentral. Lineage: Eukaryota; Metazoa; Arthropoda; Insecta; Lepidoptera; Bombycidae.
UCACAGAUAAGUUGGUUGCACUGUACGA